UCUGUGUGCAAAACUCAGGUCUUUGUACUUAUCUGGCCAUGUUCUUUUCCAAAUCCCUGACUUAAAUUCACACACCAGUUAUCGGUGGGUGAGGCACAUGCAAACAUAUGCAUGUAUUUACAUAUACCUGACUUUGAGAACUCAGUCCACUGAUGUAAGAGGGAAUGUAGCGAGGCGGUGUGGCUCCCCUCCUUCUCAGGGAGGGUUGAGCCCUGUCAAUCACCCCCCAGGGCGGAACCGCUGGGAGGAAAUCCUGCCCCUCAAAGGGUUAGGCGGCAACCUGGAAGGAUAAAAGCCGGGUCUCAGCCCUUAGUCAGGCCCCGGCCACCGGCAGGAGGAGACGUGCCUGCUGACCCUCCUCACCGGGAAGCCGCUGAGGCCCGAGGCUGGUGGGAGCUGCCCCACAGCCGCUAUGACGAGGAGCUGCCGGAGCUGCCCCGCAGUCGCUACGACGAGGAGCUGCCGGAGCUGCCCCGUCCCCACUACGGCCCCGAGGAGCUGCUAGACCAGACCUGGUCUGCCGUCCCGGAGGUAUUCCCGGACCUACCGUCCUGCCUGGACUGGGAGGAGCCCAUGGUACUGGACACCCCAGCGGACCAGGUCAACCCCGCCCAGAUCAUUGGCCACUCAUUGGAAGUAAUGUCCCAGUACUGAUGAUGUUACAGCAAUGGCAAAACCCUACUGGGUCUGCAAACUGUUUGGGGCAGGGACUAUCUUCUAAUAUAUGUGUGACACUGAGCCCGUGAAGGUUAAACAACCAGCAGGCUAAGUGACCCAAGAUCAACCUUUAAAAACAUAUUUGAGAAAUAUUGACAUGGUAAGCAGCGCCACUUCAUGUAGAUAAUUAUCAAAGUCGUGUAAGUGAAGUAAAUCCUUUGAAAUGCAAAACUAUAUUGUCAGAGAAUUAGAAGUAAAUAUUAUUGCAUUUGUCUGUGUUUACCUAUAUCUGUUAGGAGUUUAACAAUGUGAUCUAAUUAGCAUGUAGAUGCUAUACUCAGUUCCUGUCUGUCAUAUUACAUUGCUGUGUUCUAUUGAUUCAGAAAUCAAAAGCGAGUAUUAGCAAUUAGAUGAAACUUCAGUGUAAUGGUAUCAUGUCUUUAUUUCUCUUUGAAGUUUGUAGUAAACUACCUGUGAACCUUUGAAUGGUAAAUUGCUUUAUGCUAAUCAAUGCAACUAAUUACCUGGGUAUACAUAGGAAAUAGGAAUUGACUUCAAAGCAACCAUAUAUAUUACCUAUUCUUCACCCAAGGAAUGCUGGCUGUGCCAUUUGCUAGCAAGAGGCUAUCAUAACCUGCCAGAGAGCUAUAAAAGAACUUUGAGACCUGAUCCAUUUUUUUUCGUCUCAGAUCUGCAGAAGCUUGGUCAGGGGAAGUUUAAGUUGCAAGACUGAGGUUUCCAGCUCCAGUCUGGAUUACCCUGCUACUUCUCAUGGAAGAAUUUAAACAGAUUCUGCACAUGGAUUAUAAUUUAUGGAUUCUGGAAGAACUUUCUACAAAUCAGCAGCUCACUGUUUCUACUAUGAAACUAACCUAAGAACUUUACUCACAUCUGUAUGUAUAAUGAUCUUUAA
This is a long non-coding RNA of Gopherus evgoodei (Goodes thornscrub tortoise), 1570 nucleotides long. RefSeq lists it as uncharacterized. The record is from RefSeq and is a predicted model, not a curated record. The transcript has 3 exons. NCBI's taxonomy places the organism in Eukaryota, Metazoa, Chordata, Testudines, Testudinidae.